This is a long non-coding RNA of Cucumis sativus (cucumber), 1344 nucleotides long. RefSeq lists it as uncharacterized. NCBI's taxonomy places the organism in Eukaryota, Viridiplantae, Streptophyta, Magnoliopsida, Cucurbitales, Cucurbitaceae. The transcript has 2 exons. The record is from RefSeq and is a predicted model, not a curated record.
AAUGAUAGAAAAUGGAAUCUUAGACGACUUUCCUAGAUAUUGAUCAAAUUAUUCUGUUAUAUUAUUCAUAAUUUUCCACAUAAGAUCUGAACUGAGGGAUUCAAAGGACGGAGAAUUGCAUCUUAAUAAGCAGCAGCCACUGCCUGUUCACAAUCUGAUGCUCCUGAAGGGCUCAUUUGAGAUUCAUUCAAUAAGAUUGCAAAAUAAUUAAGAAAAUAAAACUCGAACCCGUAGGCUGGCGGUGGGGGACGAGUGAGUGGCUAGCAACGGGAGCGUGGAUCAGCAACAAGACACCAAAAGAAAAGUGACAGCUCGGAGAAUCUUGAAGAUAAAACCAAAUUAAUGACAACUUUCCAAGCACAUCAGCUCACUUCAUUUUGUUUAUGUGGAUGCAUGAGACAAAGACACCAAGAAAGCCAACCCAUUCCCUUGAGGGUCGAGCUUCGCUGCCAAGGAAUCAGGCGACAGGUCAAAAGCAAGCUCAAUUUCACAAAAGCACAUGCAUAAAAAAGAUUAGAGAUUAGUUGUACCAGUAUAAUAUUUUUGUCUGAAGAAGCUUUCAAGAUCUUGUCUUGUCGGUGCCUGUCUAGUUCUGAAUCCCAUGAUUUGAAGCUUCUUCAUGUUAUAAAACUCUACUACUUACUUCAUCCAACCUAGUUGACAGCUAACAGCUAAACUUUCUCCACUCAAUGAGAUCCCUACGAUAUGUUAUCUUUCUGGUUUUCUUCUUCUACUUUGCUCUAGUAGCGCAUGGACGUGCAACAUCCAAUGGAAUAGUGGUGGGUUCCAUUAAAUCCUUCAAUUUGGGGAGAUCCGGGUGUCAAAAAGUUAACGUAGAAUGCGAAAAAGGGGACGGCAGAAAAGAGAAUGUUUUCGAACAUGAAGACUAUGUCUACACUCAAUCUCUUCCUUAAAUAUGUUUCCUACUUCAAAUGCCUGAGAUAAAGGGGAAAUCAAAACCUGUCUCUAUAGCUAGUUAUUCAAGUACCUGCAGCAAUUUACAAGUCAAUUUGAAGCUCCGAACUUCUUUCCUUCGAGGAAACUGCAAGUCCUCUGAAGAUGACGUUUCUGGCUGAGUAAUAAAUUUUGCCUUUGUAUUUGCAAGAAUAAAGGGAAGGACUUGGUGUGAAAAUGGUAGAUGUUAAAGUGCAAAGAAGGAUGGUUUAAAAUAACAUGUUUCAAACAUGAAGAAGGCUGUCUAUAGUCAGCAAUUCUCUUCAGUUGUGGAUAGUCUCAUAACUCAUGCCUUGUAAAUGAUCUAUUUUGACGAGAAAUGUUACACUGCAAACAGCAAGGAUAUACCUUUUAUAAGUAAUGGUAGUUCACUACGAAGAACUUGUUUCA